CAAAGGGUAAUGUUGAUUAUUUAUUUUGACUAAAUAAGAAAUUGGUUCGAUCUUCUUCAUUGAUCUGUGUUAUUUUUCAGGUCAAAAGGAUGUACUUGAAAAGUUGAUCACAAAAGCAACCAGUCUCAAUCAUAAAGAUCAAUCUGGACAGACACCUCUUCAUGCAGCUCUUAAGAAUGGUCACACGGGUACCGCUGAAAGGCUCAUCAGCACUAAAGCUGAUAUUGAUGCUGCAGAUCUGAAUAAUCAGACACCGCUUCACUAUGCUGCUUUUUAUGGACAAAAGAGUGUCAUUGACAAGUUGAUCUUGAAAAAAGCCAAAGUUAAUUCUGUGGACAACACAAAACAAACAGCUCUUCAUCUGGCUGCAGUG
Sitodiplosis mosellana (orange wheat blossom midge) is the source of this 373-nucleotide long non-coding RNA. RefSeq lists it as uncharacterized. Lineage: Eukaryota; Metazoa; Arthropoda; Insecta; Diptera; Cecidomyiidae. The record is from RefSeq and is a predicted model, not a curated record. The transcript is spliced from 3 exons.